UACGAAGGGUGCAAACGUUGCUCGGAAUUAUUGGGCGUAAAGCGCACGUAGGCGGCUUUGCAAGUCGGAUGUGAAAUCCCUCGGCUUAACCGAGGAACUGCGCUUGAAACUACUGGACUCGAGGGAGAUAGAGGAAAGCGGAACUGAUGGUGGAGCGGUGAAAUGCGUUGAUAUCAUCAGGAACACCGGUGGCGAAGGCGGCUUUCUGGGCAACAACUGACGCUGAGGAGCGAAAGCGUGGGGAGCGAACAGG
RNAcentral lists this ribosomal RNA (253 nucleotides) under uncultured bacterium. RNAcentral's name for it is "partial 16S ribosomal RNA". It matches the Rfam family "Bacterial small subunit ribosomal RNA", at positions 524 to 776 of the family's 1533-position model. The record is from RNAcentral.